RNAcentral lists this ribosomal RNA (492 nucleotides) under uncultured bacterium. RNAcentral's name for it is "partial 16S ribosomal RNA". It matches the Rfam family "Bacterial small subunit ribosomal RNA", at positions 29 to 507 of the family's 1533-position model. The record is from RNAcentral.
AGUGAACGCUGGCGGUAGGCCUAACACAUGCAAGUCGAACGGCAGCACAGUAAGAGCUUGCUCUUACGGGUGGCGAGUGGCGGACGGGUGAGGAAUACAUCGGAAUCUACUUUUUCGUGGGGGAUAACGUAGGGAAACUUACGCUAAUACCGCAUACGACCUACGGGUGAAAGCAGGGGAUCUUCGGACCUUGCGCGAUUGAAUGAGCCGAUGUCGGAUUAGCUAGUUGGCGGGGUAAAGGCCCACCAAGGCGACGAUCCGUAGCUGGUCUGAGAGGAUGAUCAGCCACACUGGAACUGAGACACGGUCCAGACCCCUACGGGAGGCAGCAGUGGGGAAUAUUGGACAAUGGGCGCAAGCCUGAUCCAGCCAUACCGCGUGGGUGAAGGAGGCCUUCGGGUUGUAAAGCCCUUUUGUUGGGAAAGAAAAGCAGCAGGUUAAUACCCCGCUGUUCUGACGGUACCCAAAGAAUAAGCACCGGCUAACUUCGUG